AUUGAACGCUGGCGGCAGGCCUAACACAUGCAAGUCGAGCGGAUGAAGGGAGCUUGCUCCUGGAUUCAGCGGCGGACGGGUGAGUAAUGCCUAGGAAUCUGCCUGGUAGUGGGGGAUAACGUCCGGAAACGGGCGCUAAUACCGCAUACGUCCUGAGGGAGAAAGUGGGGGAUCUUCGGACCUCACGCUAUCAGAUGAGCCUAGGUCGGAUUAGCUAGUUGGUGGGGUAAGGGCCUACCAAGGCGACGAUCCGUAACUGGUCUGAGAGGAUGAUCAGUCACACUGGAACUGAGACACGGUCCAGACUCCUACGGGAGGCAGCAGUGGGGAAUAUUGGACGAUGGGCGAAAGCCUGAUCCAGCCAUGCCGCGUGUGUGAAGAAGGUCUUCGGAUUGUAAAGCACUUUAAGUUGGGAGGAAGGGCAGUAAGUUAAUACCUUGCUGUUUUGACGUUACCAACAGAAUAAGCACCGGCUAACUUCGUG
This 484-nucleotide ribosomal RNA is filed under the name uncultured bacterium. RNAcentral's name for it is "partial 16S ribosomal RNA". It matches the Rfam family "Bacterial small subunit ribosomal RNA", at positions 30 to 507 of the family's 1533-position model. The record is from RNAcentral.